Molecule: ribosomal RNA, 823 nt
Filed under: Rossmaessleria boettgeri
Lineage: Eukaryota; Metazoa; Mollusca; Gastropoda; Stylommatophora; Helicidae
Description: partial 16S ribosomal RNA
Source: RNAcentral
ACUUACUAAAAUUAUUUUUAAAUAAAAUUACACGAAAGUAGAUGAGCUAAAUAUUGUUAUAUAAUAGAAUUUUAGUUUUACGUGGUAUAGUAAUAGUAAAAACUAUAUUUAGGAAUGAUAGGUCUAUCAAAUUUAUUGAUAACUUGUUGUGUAAGAAAUAUAUUAAGUAUUAUAGCAGACUAUAAAAGUUAAGCUUUAUAGUAGAUAUUAAUCUAUUUAAUUUAUUUUAUUUAAGUUUAAUAGCUAAAUAGCUAAUAAAUUAAUAUAAAUUAAUUAUAAUUGUAUAAUUUAUUACACUUUAACCAUUUUGAUUAAAAUAGAUAAUGUAAGUAUUAGUAAUUAAAUAAAAUAUAUUUAAGGAACUCGGCAAAAAAAAUGCUCAACUGUUUAUCAAAAACAUAACUAUAUGUUUUUAUAUAUAGCUAUUUCUGCUCAAUGAUAUAUUAAAUAGCCGCAGUACUCUGACUGUGCAAAGGUAGCAUAAUCAAUUGGCUUUUAAUUAAAGUCUAGUAUGAAUGAAAUCAUGGGUAAUAGCUGUCUAAAUAUAAUUUUAGGAAUUUAGUAUGCAAGUGAAAAUACUUGCUUUUUAUAAAAGACGAGAAGACCCUAGAAACUUGUGAUGUAUUUUGUUGGGGCGACAGAAUUACAUAUAACUAAUUUUUAUUUACAUGACGUAAAGCUGAUAGAUUAAGUUACUCUAGGGAUAACAGCAUAAUUUUAAUAGUUUGUGACCUCGAUGUUGGACUAGGUACAGUACUCUUUAGAAGAGAGUUGAUAUGCUCUGUUCGAGCAGGACUACCUACAUGAUCUGAGUUCAGACCGG